Molecule: ribosomal RNA, 371 nt
Filed under: uncultured organism
Description: bacterial SSU rRNA
Rfam family: Bacterial small subunit ribosomal RNA
Source: RNAcentral
CGAAGGAUGCAAGCGUUAUCCGGAUUCAUUGGGUUUAAAGGGAGCGUAGGUGGUCUUAUAAGUCAGUGGUGAAAAUCUCUGGGCUUAACCCAGAAAUUGCCAGUUGAUACUGUCGGACUUGAGUAUAGUUGCCGUUGGCGGAAUAUGACAUGUAGUGGUGAAAUACAUAGAGAUGUCAUAGAACACCGAUUGCGAAGGCAGCUGACGAAACUAUAACUGACACUGAGGCUCGAAAGUGCGGGGAUCAAACAGGAUUAGAUACCCUGGUAGUCCGCACUGUAAACGAUGAUUACUCGCUGCUGGAGGGUCAACUUUCAGUGGCUUAGCAAAAGCGAUAAGUAAUCCACCUGGGGAGUACGCCGGCAACGGUG